CGCGUAGGCGGUUUUUUAAGUCAGAUGUGAAAUCCCGGGGCUUAACCCCGGAAGUGCAUUUGAAACUGGAGGACUUGAGUAUGGGAGAGGGAAGUGGAAUUCCUGGUGUAGAGGUGAAAUUCGUAGAUAUCAGGAGGAACACCGGUGGCGAAGGCGACUUCCUGGACCAAUACUGACGCUGAGGCGCGAAGGCGUGGGGAGCAAACAGGAUUAGAUACCCUGGUAGUCC
This 229-nucleotide ribosomal RNA is filed under the name uncultured bacterium. Its description in RNAcentral is "partial 16S ribosomal RNA". It matches the Rfam family "Bacterial small subunit ribosomal RNA", at positions 568 to 796 of the family's 1533-position model. The record is from RNAcentral.